This 370-nucleotide ribosomal RNA is filed under the name Araneus blumenau. RNAcentral's name for it is "eukaryotic LSU rRNA". The stretch from base 1 to 84 matches the Rfam family "5.8S ribosomal RNA", at positions 71 to 154 of the family's 154-position model. Lineage: Eukaryota; Metazoa; Arthropoda; Arachnida; Araneae; Araneidae. The record is from RNAcentral.
AUUGCAGGACACAUUGAGCACUGAUUUUUCGAACGCACAUUGCGGCCUCGGGUCCUGCCCGGGGCCUCGCCUGUCUGAGGGUCGGAUAAGACUUGCAAAGGAAGGUUUUCUUCCAAUUGGCCGCGUCGGAGAUCAAUGGUCUUCGUCGGCUCAAGUACUUAUAGGAUCCUCCCCGGUCGAGAGAGCACAAGCCCUAGAGCGUGCUCGUCGCUCGGAGAAGACGGACAACGUUUCUCCACGAAGACGAGACGGUUUGUUGUUGAGAAGACCAAUUGAAAGGGGAAGAGUUCCUACGUAGACAAUGUGUCUAANGACUCAAAUUUAUGACGACCUCAGAUCAGACGAGAUGACCCGCUGAAUUUAAGCAUAU